Panicum hallii is the source of this 107-nucleotide small nucleolar RNA. The record is from RefSeq and is a predicted model, not a curated record. Lineage: Eukaryota; Viridiplantae; Streptophyta; Magnoliopsida; Poales; Poaceae.
AUCCCAUGAUGAGGACAGGCAAGGAUGUACUCUUGCAGACUUUCCCAAGCUUCCAGGAUUGACUCCAUCCUUGUCUGCUGGAAACUUGAUAUUUUCCCGUGCAGGGC